Molecule: ribosomal RNA, 161 nt
Filed under: uncultured bacterium
Lineage: Bacteria
Description: partial 16S ribosomal RNA
Rfam family: Bacterial small subunit ribosomal RNA
Source: RNAcentral
UGAGGAAUAUUGGUCAAUGGGCGGGAGCCUGAACCAGCCAAGUCGCGUGAGGGAAGACGGUCCUAUGGAUUGUUAAAACCUCUUUUGUCGGGGAGCAAAGAGGCCACGUGUGGUCAAAAGCGAGAGUACCCGAACGAAAAAGCAUCGGCUAACUCCGUGCC